Molecule: ribosomal RNA, 380 nt
Filed under: uncultured bacterium
Lineage: Bacteria
Description: bacterial SSU rRNA
Rfam family: Bacterial small subunit ribosomal RNA
Source: RNAcentral
AAUGAACGCUGGCGGCGCGCCUAAUACAUGCAAGUCGAGCGAGAAGACGUAGCAAUACGUUUGUAAAGCGGCGAACGGGUGAGGAAUACAUGGGUAACCUACCCUAGAGUGGGGAAUAACGUAGCCGAAAGGUUAGCUAAUACCGCGUACGCUCCUUGGACUUCGGUUCAGGGAGGAAAGCGAUGCCGAGGGUAUCGCGCUCUUGGAUGGGCUCAUGUCCUAUCAGCUUGUUGGGAGGUAACGCUCACCAAGGCUUCGACGGUAGCUGGUCUGAGAGGACGAUCAGCCACACUGGCACUGCGACACGGGCCAGACUCCUACGGGAGGCAGCAGUAAGGAAUAUUGCGCAAUGGGACGAAAGCCUGACGCAGCGACGCCGC